Molecule: long non-coding RNA, 656 nt
Filed under: Oryza brachyantha (malo sina)
Lineage: Eukaryota; Viridiplantae; Streptophyta; Magnoliopsida; Poales; Poaceae
Description: long non-coding RNA (OBRA_LNC000379)
Source: RNAcentral
UGAGGACAAUGCCAUUGACUGGUAACAUGUAGCUUUUGUUCUGUGCUACAUAUAUAGCCUGAAUUAAUUCUCUUUUUUUUUUUUGCAUAACUGGUAAUCGGAGUCUGGAAAUGUACACCAGAAAAAGGUUUGUACAAAAUAUUUUUCUUUACAUUCUUGUAGUUUUCUCAACUACGGAAUGGUUAUGAACAAUACAUGACGUUGAAUCAUGCAUGAACUUUCACCGGCAGUAUUUUCUUGUACACCAGAAAAACUGCACAAAAUUAGUGUUUUUUCUUUUUUACAUUCUUGUAGUUUUUUGAACUACGGUGAAUCUUUCACCCUGGUUAUUUUUUCUAAGUCUAGAAUUAAUCAAUUAAUUAAAGCUUUAAGCUUACAUUAAGCUUAUAAGCUUUGUGCUAACAAAAAAAAAAAGCUUCCCCUAAAAGGAAAUGGUAAAAAUUGAAUCUUUAUCUAUCUUCACUCGGCGUCCUCUUGGAUGAUGCUCAGCGCCCGCUUCAGCCGCGCCCGCGUCGCCGCCGCCGCCGCGGCGAGCUUCUCGCCGCUCUUUGGCGGGCUCCACGACGCCGGGAACUCUCCCAGCGUCCGCUCGUUCAGCUUCUCGUGGAGCAGCACGUCGCCGUCGAGCUGCUCGUCCCGCAGCGGCGCGACGCGCA